Molecule: long non-coding RNA, 2058 nt
Organism: Psammomys obesus (fat sand rat)
Lineage: Eukaryota; Metazoa; Chordata; Mammalia; Rodentia; Muridae
Exons: 3
Source: RefSeq, a predicted model, not a curated record
GGUCUCAGCUGAAGCAACUCUUCAUUUGUUCCUUCAAAUAUGCUUGAAUUUUGUACCGAAGUCUCAACUUCCCUGGCUUGAAAACUGCUUGUUUUUGAAACAGAGCCUCUCUUCUCGCCUUGAAUUCUUUCCUGGUCCUGGGCGUCGAAUGUGGAGCAUCAGGCUUGAUGGCAAGAUGUCUUUACCCACUGAGCCAUCUUGUCUGGCCUGGAGGACCUUCUUCGUCUCCUGGGCUGAAGCAGAGAGCAAGACAGGAAAGGAGCCCUCAGGCCUUCAGAGCCCCACCCCCAGGAGCUUCCUGCCAACUCCUUACACCUCCACAAGCUUCUAACGCACCUUCACCAUGUGCUCCACACUUCAGCCCGUGGGGAUGGGCACAAUGACGGAAGCAUCUGCAGAUGGCAAGGUGGACGAGCAAAGCAGCUGAAACACAGAGCCAACACAUGGAAGUCCUGUUCUGGAUCCUCAGACCCACAGCUGAGUGAUUUUGAGCAAAAGAGAAACAAUUUUGUGUGUGUUUUUUAAACAUGAAACACUCAUUUUUUGUUGAAAGAAGAUUUAGAAAUAGUUUAUCUAGUCUAGAAUUUCUCAACCUCUUAUCAAUAUUGACAUUUGCAUGAGAUAAUUCUUUGCCACAGAGGUAAAAGAGUAAGCUAAAUAAAUUUCCCCCUUCACCUGCUCUUUUCUAGGUACACUUCACAGCAAUAAAAACCCAGGAAAGAAUGUAACAUGACCUCACCUGUGUCACUCAACUGGUGACCUUAAAACAGCCCAGUUGGGAAGUUUAGUCUUCUCCAUCUUAGGAAGGUGCUCUUUUUUCACUCUUGAUAUACAGAACCGGGACUGGAGAGCUGGCUCAGUGGUUAAGAGCACUGGCUGCUCUUUCAGAGGACCGGGGUUCAAUUCCCAGCCCCCACUUGGGCAUCUGUUACUCCAGUUCCAGGAGAUCCGACCCCCUCACAUAGACACACAUACAGGUAAAACACCAAUGCACGUAAAAAAAAAAAAAAGUUUUUAAGAGGAGGGGCUAGAGAGAUGGCUCAGUGGUUAAGAGCACUACUUGCUCUUCCAGAGGAUCUGGGUUCAAUUCCUAGUACCCGCACGGAAGCUCACAACUGUCUGUAACUCCAGUUCCAGGGGAUCCAACACCCUCACACAGACAUGCAUGCAGGCAGAACACCAAGGCACACCAAAUAAAAAUAAAAAUAAACUAAAAAAAAAAAAAACAAAAGCAAAACCAACCAACCAACCAAACAAACAAACAAAAACUGAAUCUCCUACUUGUCCAUUUGAUAUCAAGCAAGGAAGGCUUUGAGAUGUGUUGGCAGAUUUCCAUAGAUUCUUCAAAGAGGUCCUCUCCCAUUUGAGGUUGAUAUGCAGUGUGGGUCAAUUUGGAAGACGGGAAGAAGGUCCAUUCCGUAGGGCUGCCUGAGGCUCACUCUUCCCUCUAGUUUGGCCGCUAACCAUUGAUCUUCUCACUUGAUUCCACACCUUCACAUAUGAAGGAAGACUGUUCAGGGGCUGUGAGGGAGAGACUCAGAUACAGCACUGGUCAGACUGCAUGUUCCCCAGAGCAUCUGAAAUGUAUGAAAAGAUGCCAUGGACAACCCUCAGGAUCAAAAGGGACAUACUGGGAAUAUGUUUUGGUAUUUGGCCAUUGGGGUGUAUACACAAGGCUUGGCUGUGUGACUUAACUAUCGUAGGAAGAUAAAAACUUACAUAAAAAUGGGGCAGCUUAAUAAAACACAGCAACAUACUCUGCCAAAAGGUACCAAAUGAUAACAAAAUCUGGGGAGAGAAUAUAGGCUACUAAGUCUAUUGGAAAAUCCAAACAGGAUUUUAAAUGGACCUAUGUUUUUGCCAUUUUAUAAUGCAUUUCAGACCCAACUGAUGUCAAGUAAACUUAUGAUGAUCAUUUUGAAGGGUGUUUUUAUUCAUAGCAGCUAAGUAAUACGUUAUAGGGAUAAAACCUAUAAUCAGGCCACUCUUUAAUGUUUAUAAGGCAUUGAUCCCACUGAAUGAAAGAAAGUAAAGGCCACCAGAUGGUGAGGGCACAUG